Non-coding RNA from Paragonimus westermani, 64 nucleotides. NCBI's taxonomy places the organism in Eukaryota, Metazoa, Platyhelminthes, Trematoda, Plagiorchiida, Troglotrematidae. The record is from the annotation of a GenBank genome assembly.
GCUGAUAGGGCUGCGUUAGCAGGUCGCUGUGAUAUAGCGGUUGUGAGAUUUAUCUUCGUCGGUA